GAUACUCCUUGUUGUUGUUGUUGUUUAGAGUGUUGGUAUUGUAGCGUAGAUACUCCUUGUUGUUUAGUGUGUUGGUGUCCUUGACCUCUAUGUACAUAACGCCUCAGUAAAGUGUGACAGGAUGAAAUCUCAGAAGGUCCGUAGGAGACCCGAGUCCUGCCACGCCUAUCACCCUCAGGAAAACGCCAAGGAGUGUGGAGAUGCAUCACAGAUCUACCUGUCUGUCUCUCUCUUCCUCACCUGUCUGACUGCCUCCUUCGCCUGUCUCAAGGCCUCCACGCUGGUCUUCCGAUGAUAGACAGACAGCUACUGAACCUAAACCCCACCCCCCUCUGAAAAUCUCCCUGGAAUAUUCCAGAAUGCCUGAACUUAGCAUGCCUGCUACUGCUUGUGUUAUCUUUAUCAAUCUAUAUGACAGAAUGACUAAAAUUACGAUACUGAUCAUUUGGGCUGUUGGACUGAGAGGAAUAUGGCAGCUGUUAACUGACUCUAUGCUUGAUGACUUUACUAUCACAGAGAGAUGUUGACUUCAGAUGCUUGAUGACUUUACAAUCACAGAGAGAUGUUGACUGACUCCAUGCUUGAUGACUUUACUAUCACAGAGAGAUGUUGACUUCAGAUGCUUGAUGACUUUACAAUCACAGAGAGCUGUUGACUUCAGAUGCUUGACGACUUUACAAUCACAGAGAGAUGUUGACUGACUCCAUGCUUGAUGACUUUACAAUCACAGAGAGCUGUUGACUUCAGAUGCUUGAUGACUUUACAAUCACAGAGAGAUGUUGACUGACUCCAUGCUUGAUGACUUUACAAUCACAGAGAGCUGUUAACUGACACCAUGCUUGAUGACUUUACAAUCACAGAGAGCUGUUAACUGACUCCAUGCUUGAUGACUUUACAAUCACAGAGAGCUGUUGACUGACUCCAUGCUUGAUGACUUUACAAUCACAGAGAGCUGUUGACUGACUCCAUGCUUGAUGACUUUACAAUCACAGAGAGCUGUUAACUGACUCCAUGCUUGAUGACUUUACAAUCACAGAGAGCUGUUGACUUCCGUUGCUUGAUGACUUUCAAACACAACCACCAAAGUUGUGCUUCUUUGGACAACUGUUCUAAAACCAUGAAAGGGCAUUUUGGUUUCUUCUUCUUCAGUGUCUUAUAAGAGAACAUUAUAGUGUUUCUAUGCAAAAGGAAACAUACUUUCUUUGACCGUGGAAAGUUCCAGUAUCUCCAAUACUAUUCCAAAGGACUUGACUUUGCAAUAGGACCAUGGAAGACUAUCAGUCUGUGGAUGAUGUGUUUUAUAAAUGGUUUUGAUAAAAUAAUACUCUGGAUUCAUGCAUGUGUAUGUCUGUUUACCUUAAGCCAUGAAAUGGAGGAUGAACCUUGGAUAAGGCAGAGGCAUCUUUGAACAGUGAUACAAUUCAGAUCGUGGAGUCAGUGACCUCUGCUGGUUGGAAUAUGACAUUGCAGGAUGGUGAUGAAUCAAGUGGAGACUGGCUGGCUGCUGAAGGAUGGAUGAACACAAUGGACUCAACUUCCACAUUGUUCUGUUCAUAACUCAUCAGUCUUUGGUCUACGCUCCACAAACACAUCAAGUAUCUACUAUUAAAUGUGGGCUGGGUUUUCACUGUUGGAAAUGGAUGGACUGUUUCAGGAAAAACCUUCAAGUCACAUAUCAUAUAUGCAAUCUAAGACUUACUAAACCAGUCGACUUAGUUGGCUUACUGCAAAACAAGAACCAUUACUGACCACCUACUUCUGUGUUGGACUACAAGGUGAAACAGCCAUUCUGUUAGAAGGAACAACAUUACAAUGUGAUGGACUACAAGGUGAAACAGCCAUUCUGUUAGAAG
Salmo salar (Atlantic salmon) is the source of this 1853-nucleotide long non-coding RNA. RefSeq lists it as uncharacterized. The record is from RefSeq and is a predicted model, not a curated record. Lineage: Eukaryota; Metazoa; Chordata; Actinopteri; Salmoniformes; Salmonidae.